This 800-nucleotide ribosomal RNA is filed under the name uncultured bacterium. Its description in RNAcentral is "bacterial SSU rRNA". It matches the Rfam family "Bacterial small subunit ribosomal RNA", at positions 54 to 846 of the family's 1533-position model. The record is from RNAcentral.
CAUGCAAGUCGAGGGGCAGCAUGAACUUAGCUUGCUAAGUUUGAUGGCGACCGGCGCACGGGUGAGUAACACGUAUCCAACCUUCCGUUUACUCAGGGAUAGCCUUUCGAAAGAAAGAUUAAUACCUGAUAGUAUGGUGAGAUUGCAUGAUAGCACCAUUAAAGAUUUAUUGGUAAACGAUGGGGAUGCGUUCCAUUAGGUAGUAGGCGGGGUAACGGCCCACCUAGCCGACGAUGGAUAGGGGUUCUGAGAGGAAGGUCCCCCACAUUGGAACUGAGACACGGUCCAAACUCCUACGGGAGGCAGCAGUGAGGAAUAUUGGUCAAUGGGCGAGAGCCUGAACCAGCCAAGUAGCGUGAAGGAUGAAGGUCCUACGGAUUGUAAACUUCUUUUAUACGGGAAUAAAGUAUCCUACGUGUAGGAUUUUGUAUGUACCGUAUGAAUAAGCAUCGGCUAACUCCGUGCCAGCAGCCGCGGUAAUACGGAGGAUGCGAGCGUUAUCCGGAUUUAUUGGGUUUAAAGGGAGCGCAGACGGGAGAUUAAGUCAGUCGUGAAAGUUUGCGGCUCAACCGUAAAAUUGCAGUUGAUACUGGUUUCCUUGAGUGCAGUUGAGGCAGGCGGAAUUCGUGGUGUAGCGGUGAAAUGCUUAGAUAUCACGAAGAACCCCGAUUGCGAAGGCAGCUUGCUAAACUGUAACUGACGUUCAUGCUCGAAAGUGUGGGUAUCAAACAGGAUUAGAUACCCUGGUAGUCCACACGGUAAACGAUGGAUACUCGCUGUUGGCGAUAUACUGUCAGCGG